RNAcentral lists this ribosomal RNA (927 nucleotides) under uncultured Bacteroidota bacterium. RNAcentral's name for it is "bacterial SSU rRNA". It matches the Rfam family "Bacterial small subunit ribosomal RNA", at positions 8 to 932 of the family's 1533-position model. The record is from RNAcentral. Lineage: Bacteria; Pseudomonadati; Bacteroidota.
AGAGUUUGAUCAUGGCUCAGGAUGAACGCUAGCGGCAGGCUUAACACAUGCAAGUCGAGGGGUAACAGGAGAGCUUGCUCUUGCUGACGACCGGCGCACGGGUGCGUAACGCGUAUACAAUCUACCUUAUACUGGAGAAUAGGCCAAAGAAAUUUGGAUUAAUGCUCCAUAGUAUUUUCGGAACACAUGUUCUGAUUCUUAAAGCUCCGGCGGUAUAAGAUGAGUAUGCGUGAUAUUAGCUAGUUGGUGAGGUAAUUGCUCACCAAGGCAACGAUAUCUAGGGGGUCUGAGAGGACUAUCCCCCACACUGGUACUGAGACACGAACCAGACUCCUACGGGAGGCAGCAGUGAGGAAUAUUGGGCAAUGGAGGCAACUCUGACCCAGCCAUGCCGCGUGAAGGAAGAAGGCCUUAUGGGUUGUAAACUUCUUUUAUUUGGGAAGAAACCUAUUUACGUGUAAAUAGCUGACGGUACCAAACGAAUAAGGACCGGCUAACUCCGUGCCAGCAGCCGCGGUAAUACGGAGGGUCCAAGCGUUAUCCGGAAUCAUUGGGUUUAAAGGGUGCGCAGGCGGUUUAUUAAGUCAGUGGUGAAAUCUCGGGGCUCAACCUCGAAACUGCCAUUGAUACUGAUAAACUUGAGUUCAGUUGGAGUAGGCGGAAUGUGUAGUGUAGCGGUGAAAUGCUUAGAUAUUACACAGAACACCGAUAGCGAAGGCAGCUUACUAAACUGAUACUGACGCUGAGGCACGAAAGCGUGGGGAGCGAACAGGAUUAGAUACCCUGGUAGUCCACGCCGUAAACUAUGAUUACUCGAUAUUGGCGAUAUACUGUCAGUGUCUAAGCGAAAGUGAUAAGUAAUCCACCUGGGGAGUACGGUCGCAAGAUUGAAACUCAAAGGAAUUGACGGGGGCCCCGCACAAGCGG